GACGAACGCUGGCGGCGUGCUUAACACAUGCAAGUCGAACGGAAAGGCCCUGCUUGCAGGGUACUCGAGUGGCGAACGGGUGAGUAACACGUGGGUGAUCUGCCCUGCACUUCGGGAUAAGCCUGGGAAACUGGGUCUAAUACCGGAUAGGAGCCAUUUUUAGUGUGAUGGUUGGAAAGUUUUUUCGGUGUAGGAUGAGCUCGCGGCCUAUCAGCUUGUUGGUGGGGUAAUGGCCUACCAAGGCGGCGACGGGUAGCCGGCCUGAGAGGGUGGACGGCCACAUUGGGACUGAGAUACGGCCCAGACUCCUACGGGAGGCAGCAGGGGGGAAUAUUGCACAAUGGGCGCAAGCCUGAAGCAGCGACGCCGCGUUGGGGAUGAAGGCCUUCGGGUUGUAAACUCCUUUCGCUAGGGACGAAGCUUUUUGUGACGGUACCUAGAUAAGAAGCACCGGCUAACUACGUG
RNAcentral lists this ribosomal RNA (465 nucleotides) under uncultured bacterium. RNAcentral describes it as "partial 16S ribosomal RNA". It matches the Rfam family "Bacterial small subunit ribosomal RNA", at positions 28 to 507 of the family's 1533-position model. The record is from RNAcentral.